This 396-nucleotide ribosomal RNA is filed under the name uncultured bacterium. RNAcentral's name for it is "partial 16S ribosomal RNA". It matches the Rfam family "Bacterial small subunit ribosomal RNA", at positions 523 to 918 of the family's 1533-position model. The record is from RNAcentral.
CUACGUAGGUGGCAAGCGUUGUCCGGAAUUAUUGGGCGUAAAGCGCAUGUAGGCGGUUUGGUAAGUCGGUCGUGAAAAUGCGGUGCUUAACGCCGUAUGGCGAUUGAAACUGCUGAACUUGAGUGCAGGAGAGGAAAGGGGAACUCCCAGUGUAGCGGGGAAAUGCGUAGAUAUUGGGAAGAACACCGGUGGCGAAGGCGCCUUUCUGGACUGUGUCUGACGCUCAGAUGCGAAAGCCAGGGUAGCGAACGGGAUUAGAUACCCCGGUAGUCCUGGCCGUAAACGAUGGGUACUAGGUGUGGGAGGUAUCGACUCCUUCCGUGCCGGAGUUAACGCAAUAAGUACCCCGCCUGGGGAGUACGGCCGCAAGGCUUAAACUCAAAUGAAUUGACGGGG